This is a long non-coding RNA of Amaranthus tricolor (Joseph's coat), 6151 nucleotides long. RefSeq lists it as uncharacterized. The record is from RefSeq and is a predicted model, not a curated record. NCBI's taxonomy places the organism in Eukaryota, Viridiplantae, Streptophyta, Magnoliopsida, Caryophyllales, Amaranthaceae. The transcript has 2 exons.
AAUAUAUUCCUCUUAAGAGUCGUGGACAAAUAUAAUAGCCAAAAGAAAACAAAGCAAGAUUCAAAAAUGAAUGACAAUGGCGAAAGACUAACCACAAUAUGGCAACAUCCUUACAACAUCAACUUGCAGUAUUUCCAUGGUUCCCUCCAAUACCCUUUUUUGUCCUAUAAAUAAUAAUUAAUUUCUUCAUUUCAACCUUAAUUCAUAGCUUCUUUUAAUUUUUUUUCCUAUCUCAAAAUUCUAAUAUAUUUGAAGCUCAUUUAUAACCAUUUAAAGGUGCGCUAUUUUUAUAUUGUUUAUCAAAAUUUAGAUAGUUUAUAAUUUUGUUAUUUAUUAGGCUGAAAUAUUCAUUAAAGAUUUUUCAAUUAUUUUUAAAAUUUUACGAUCUCUAUGUUUCAAAAUUAUAAAAUUUUAUGCAAAACAAUGAAAGAAAAUUAGAUUAUGAGCAUACAUAAUUUGGAGUAGUUUUUAAUGUGCUUUAAAAUUGAUUGAUAUUGGUGCAUAUAAAUAUAUUUACUAAUGUUGCAACAUCAAAUUUGGAUUCUUGAUUGAAUUCUUUCCUUUCAAAUAAUGUACAUGUUCUAUGCGUACAAAUGUCAUUUUGACUGUAACUUGGUUGUUAUCUGCGAUAUAAAAUUUAUUACUUGAUAUUAGUAUGUCGUUUUGAAUAUUUUUAUUUUUUACUUUAUUUUUUUAUAGUACUACCUACGUUUUUAGAGUAGGUUUAUAUGUUUCUGUUUUCAAAUGUUAUUUCCAUUCACUUUUUUCGCAGAUCUCAAUGCAAACUCUAAAUCAAAAACUUUUAAUUGUGAAGUUUUUAAAAUUCGAAAAAAUUAAUACAUAGAAAGUUUAUAUUGUGGCGAAUUUAAGAAGAUCUUACAUGAAUAUGUUUUUCUUAUAGAUUAAUGAGAAAUCAUAAUUAAAGUUUGACAUUAAAAUUUAUAAAAAUAUUGUAUUUGAGAAGAGCAUAUGAAAACGUAGGAAGUAUGAUUUUGAUGGUAUAUAUUGUUCUAGAUAUAUCUAAAUAAAAUACUUUAAAAAUGUUUUAAUAAAACUAACAAUCGCAGAUACCCACUAAGCUACAAACAAAUAUGAUGUUUACAAACAUUUGGAAGAUGAAAUUACUAUUGGAUAGGAGAGAAUCAAAUCAAGUAUCCAAUUUUGAUGGUGUAACAUUAACAAGUAUGUUAGGUAUACACCAAAGUCAAUUAAAUAAUAAAGGCUCAUUAAAAAGCAAAUCAAAAUUGUGUUAUGCUUAUGUAUUCUUUCAAUUGAUUUGUCAUAAAUAUUAUUUUUUUUAAUUAUGGGGAAAGUAAAAUUAGGAAAAUAUAUAGAAAAAUUGUUUGAUGUUCUUCAGCCAUAAUGAAUGACAUAAUUAUCUACUACUUAAAUUUUAGGAUUGUAUGUUUCUUUCUUAAUUUCGAAGAGAAAUAUAACAUUGCUACAUGUUAUCGGUGAACGUUUCAUGAUUGUUUCAUGGAAACAAUUGAUGAUAAGUGAAGCAAAGACUUUAGAGAUAUAUAUAUAUAUAUAUCAAGGUACGCUUUUACAAAAGAAAUCGCAGAACUAUUUAUUUAAAUGUUCAUCAUCUUCGAUUAGUCUACUUAAAAUUGUAGAUAUUGUUAAUUAGUUGCAUGAUUAGAUAAUUUUUUAAUUGAUUACUUUAACAAGUUUUAGCAAUCCCUUUAAGGUUACAGGCGAUCAUUUUAAGACAAUAACAACUCGUUUGGUAGUUGGUAAUAAAUGAUAGUAAUAAAAAUGAAAUUUACUGUAAUUUUGGUUAAAAAGUCUCUUGACUACCUUGAUGGUCAUACAUUAACAUUAGGAGAGGUUGUAUUAGAUGGUAAUGAAAAUUUGUAAACAAAAAGCUUUGUUGCAAUCAAAAGUUUCAUCAUCAUGAGAAUUACAUGAAACUUUUGAUGUAAAAUAACUCUUUCAAUAGCUACGGAGAUCAUCUCUUGGUGAAACGAUUUUAAUACAAGUUCUUAUGCUAGUAAUUGUAUUAAUUGAGUUAUGCAGCCUAUGUAUUAAAAAGCAUCUCAUAAUAAGACCGUCUUACACAAAAAUUUGCGUUUUUUUCAAUAUGUUUUAGGCGUCUUUUUUUUAUUGGCUUGGCAACCUCUAAAAACUAGCCUCGAGUGUAACGCAUAUACUAACCAUAUUGAUUCGUUUUGAUCUUAUAAAUGCAAAAUUUUUAUUCUUUCAAUAUUAUUUUCUCCUCUAAUUUUUGAAUGCUUUUGGAUUUGAUUCUCAUAACCUUGCAAAAAAAAUUUGUUUAAUUUCUCCUUGGCUUUAUCCCAAAUCAAAGAUCAAAAAAUUAUUUUAUAAAUGGGCAACAACGACAUUUAAUAUUUGUAAGUACAAGUGCUUGAUUCUACACUUGAACAAUUUUGAUAUAUUUACCUUGAUCUUUAUAUAUCUUAAAAUCCUCAAUUGAUUAGUGGAAUUUUAUUUAAUAUUCCGAAUAAUUAAUUGUUGAAACCUAAGAAAAAGAACGGGAAAUGUCGCAUUUGCGAUUCCAAUUGUUAAAAAACAAGUUGAUGACAUAAUGUUGUCAUUACAUUACAUUGCAAUGAUAGUUUUUUAUGGGAAAUUUUACAUAGUUGCAUCUAGUUUUCAAGAAACGUCAGUGAUAGUAUUUUUGUAAGAUUUUUCACAUAGUAGCAUUCAAUUUAUGCACUAUCUAACUGCCGUAGAAUUUUCCGUUAAAUUCUUGUUAAUUUCUGUUUAAUUCAUUAUUUUGUAAGAUUUUUCUACAUGGUAGCAUCCAAUAUUUGCUCUCAAAUGUUUAAUUCACUAUUUAAACGUUUAAUUCACCGAUUAAUUUAUCAAUACCCUUAAAUGUAGUAACAAUUUUAUUUUCAUUCAAAUUAUUGGCAUUAUAAAGUUCAAAAGGUGCAUUACAAACACUAAUAAAUAAUUCAAAAGACGCAUUUUAUAAGCUCAAAAGGUGCUUUUCAUAAGUUCAAAAGUGCAUUCCAAGCACUAAUACAUAUCUACUUGAUCGUUAUAAUAUUUAAGAGCGUUGAUAAAUUAAUCGAUGAAUUAAACUUAAAAUAGUGAAUUAAAUAUUUGAGAGCAAAAACUAUGUGCUACCAUAUGGAAAAAUCUUACAAAAUUAUGAAUUAAAUGGAAAUUAACGAGAAUUUAACAGAAAAUGGUACGGCAGUUAGAUAAUGUAUAGAUUGGAUGCUACCAUGUGGAAAAAUCUUACAAAAGUGCUACCAAUAGCGUUUCAUGAAAACUGAAUGCUAACAUGUGGAAUUUCCCUUUUUUAUAUACUCUCUCCUAUUUACCCAAAGUGUUCUAUUUACUUUUUUGCACUAUUUAUCUGUUACUCUUAAUUUCUAUUUUAUUUUUAAUCUAUAAUUUAAAACGUAGUCAAUAAGAAUCUUGUUUGAUUCGUCCCAAUGCAAGGAUUAUUCAUAUCAACUUUUCAUAAUUUUUAAUUAUGUUCAAUUAGAGAUAUUUAGGAUAGAAUAUGUGUAUUAGAUAGAGUGCAUAAAUUAAAUGAAACACUUGUGAUAAAUCAAAUGAUAUAGUGACAAUGAGUAUUCUAAUGGUAAGAGUCAACUGUGGUUUAGAAUUCCCUAGCAUAAAUAACACAUGUUAUUGGAUUCAAGGCACAUCCAUGAAAUCUAUAGAUUGGUAGUUUGAGAUGCGAAAAGAGGGGUGUUUAGAGCUAACAAUAAUAAGAAGUGAUGUAGAAGAUAAUGAAAAACAGAAUUUAGACAAUAGAAAAGACAAACAAUAAACACAAUAAACACAAAAUAUAUAUAGAGACUAUUGAUGAUAAGAAAGUGUUGUUAGGAGAUUCUCACAAUGCUAAGUGAUAAGUGUAGUAUUUUAUACUUAUUUCAUCUUUUUCAUGGUUUAUCGAGACCUUUACUUAGCGUUUUGAGGUUGAAUGUGGUUGAGAUUUUCUAAUUUGAGUUCAUUUGCCUCUACAUUCCGUUUUGUGCCUUAUUGUUCCAUGUUCGAGUUAUUCAAGAAGAAUUUCUUGUUAUCUUGGUGGUAAACCAUGUUUUGUGAGCCUCAAUGAUCCAUCAUUACAUAGUUUGACACUAUAUGGUAGCUCAUGAAUACUUUGAUCAAAGACGAGGAGAGUUCAAGAACUACUUGAUUGAUUUUCAAGCCAUUGGAGUAUUCUAUGACCAAUAUCGGCCAAGAUUAACCUAGAUUUGGUCGAGAUUAUGUUGAAUUAGGGUUCUGGUUGUUCUGCCAAAAGUUUUGGUUAAAGUUGUUGAAGAAUUCUGGCGACGUUAUUAGCAUUCAGGCGAGAGUGUUCAGCUUCGGUUGAAGCUCAAUUGAAGGCAAGUUCCUAGGCUUACCAUUGGCAAUCUCGGGCAAACUCAACAGCAGAUUUGCGCGAUAUCUAUAGAGUUCGGCCGAGAUCAGGCUUCAAUUCGGCCGAAAUUGGGUUCUGUUGUUCCUCUGCUUCUUUUCCUUCCACUUUCAAAAGGCAUGAUAUAAAUAGCUUUUGGUUUUAGGUUUUAAGGGGUUACUUUAGAAUACAAUUAAAACCUGAAUCUCAUUUUAAGUUUUGUUAAUCUCCUCUUAAUCUUGCUUUUAUCUUAAUUAGUGUUUAAUUCCUUUAAGUAAUUUAUGUCUUUCCCCAUUAUUAAACCUUGAUUUUCUCCAUUUCAACUCUUCAUUUUUUCAACUUCAUUGUAUAGUUUUCAUCAAUCUCGUUGGAACUUCAAUAAUCUAAGGAGGUCUCAAGGACUAUCGAAUCAUCAAUUCUACCCAAAUAUUGAAUAUGUCCUGUAUAUGUAACGGUCAGCAGAGAAAAGAAGGCGGGAAAUUGAAACUUCGGGUGUCCUAAUUCUUAAUCCAUCACCCCUUCGUCAUUUCCUAAAUCAUAUGUUCCUAAAUUAGCAUGUAUGUCCAACGUUUCACCACAGCCCUUUGGCCACAUGGGGAGACCUUUUCCCGCUUAUUCCACCGCAUCAUGUAUUUUCAAGCCUGCAAUAGCCAAUACUUUUGAAGUCCGCUCUCACCUUGUACGACUGAUUGAGAGAAAACAAUUUAGGAGUUCACCUUUAAAAAGCCUGCCUGAUCAUUUAUCUGAUUUGUUAGAGAAGUGUGACACAAUUAACAUCAACAAUGUCUACAAAGACGCUGUAAGAUUAAGACUCUUCCCAUUUCGCGUAAGAGAAAAAGUAAAGACUUAGCUUAAGUCAGAACCUCUAAAUAAGUACUUUUAAUCCACUCUAUACCCAGUUGGCUUCUAAUCAAGUACUUUUACUCCGGGAUUCAUGAUGAAUACAGGCUCACCAUCAAUGCUGCAUAUAGUGGUGAUAUGAGCUCCAUAAUAACAGAAUAUUAGGUGCUCACCUUGCUCGAAACAAUUGUUUAAAACUCAACCUUAUGGGGUAAUGUACGAGAGUCGAUAGUACCAUCUUCAACCAAAUUUGAUGGAGAUGUAAGUAAAGCUAUAACCAUUUCGAUAGCUAGGGUGUAAUCUUCAAAAGGCUAGUCAUUCCCUUUCUCAUGUUAUGUAUGUUACAUGCGGCUUGGGUACUCAUAAUUCUGAUGCAUGUCUUACCAUUGCUCCAGCACAAGAGGAGGUAAAGGCUCUGUUUAACAAAUAGCCCCUACCUCUCAUAUUCAUCUACAAAUGUGCAAAACCUGUAAAACAUUGUGCCUACCACUACACAAUCUGCCUGAUUUCCCUGAUAAGUCUCCACAACCUGCCGUUCGUUUACCAAUGCAACAAUUUCCACCACAGAAGGAAGAAUUAAGUAUUGCUUUUGAUUCUAUGGUUGAAGCAUGCAAUGGUAAUAACAUUUUAACAUCCUUUUUCUCCUCUUCCUAUCAUGUCCAAGACUUAUCCACAGGACACUAAACCACCUAGGGAACGCUUAUCUUGGUGUUUACCAUUGGUCUUCCAACUAUCACUCUCUACACAUGGCACACACUACCUAUUAUAUAAUUUGACAUUACCGACUUGGGCAUUUGUCUACAAAUAUUCAGAAACAUCUAGCUAGUUCUUUCUGUACGAAGGUAUAUACUAGAAUUGAUUUUGUGUUAUUCUAAUUUAUCUUAUAUUUAUUUAGUUUCCUAGAAUUGUUUCUUAAUACUUGUACAUACCAAGACUUGUAUCUCUUAUCGGAAUUCAAUAAAAAUAGUAUUCAAACAAAAACAUAAA